UAGGGAAUCUUCCGCAAUUGACGCAAGUCUGACGGAGCAACGCCGCGUGAGUGAAGAAGGAUUUCGGUUCGUAAAACUCUGUUGUUAGAGAAGAACAGCGCAUAGAGUAACUGUUAUGCGUGUGACGGUAUCUAACCAGAAAGCCACGGCUAACUACGUGCCAGCAGCCGCGGUAAUACGUAGGUGGCAAGCGUUGUCCGGAUUUAUUGGGCGUAAAGCGAGCGCAGGCGGUCAAUUAAGUCUGAUGUGAAAGCCCCCGGCUCAACCGGGGAGGGUCAUUGGAAACUGGUUGACUUGAGUGCAGAAGAGGAGAGUGGAAUUCCAUGUGUAGCGGUGAAAUGCGUAGAUAUAUGGAGGAACACCAGUGGCGAAGGCAACUCUCUGGUCUGUAACUGACGCUGAGGCUCGAAAGCGUGGGUAGCAAACAGG
RNAcentral lists this ribosomal RNA (429 nucleotides) under Bacteroidota bacterium. RNAcentral describes it as "Bacteroidetes bacterium partial 16S ribosomal RNA". It matches the Rfam family "Bacterial small subunit ribosomal RNA", at positions 355 to 776 of the family's 1533-position model. Lineage: Bacteria; Pseudomonadati; Bacteroidota. The record is from RNAcentral.